AUUAUCUCAAGGCUAAAAGGAUUUUUGUUUAGGACGUAUGAAGAUUAAUUCAAUUAAAUAAAUACUUAUUGAGCAUUGACUAUCAGGGGAAUACUGGAAGACAGGCCUGCAGAGGAACAUGUCAGAAUGAUCACACUAUUUGUGGGUGUAUAAUCUGGAAGCUGUACCAUGAUUAGUUGAAAGAGAGACUGAAGGCAAGAAAAACAGUGUGGUGACUUGGAGAAGAACCAAGACAUAAGGAAAUGAAGACCUACUCUUGGGUGAUGACAGUAAAAAGAAUGGAAUAGGCCUGAGAGACAGGAAAAGGGAGAACUGAUGAGACUCAGUUACUGAUAGGGCUAAAGAGGAGGAAGGACAGGGCGAGGUGGCUCACGCCUGUAAUCCCAGCACUUUGGGAGGCAAGGCAGCACUUUUGAGCCCAGUAAUUCAAGACCAGCCUGAGCAAC
RNAcentral lists this long non-coding RNA (446 nucleotides) under Pan troglodytes (chimpanzee). RNAcentral's name for it is "long non-coding RNA NONPTRT010839". The record is from RNAcentral. Lineage: Eukaryota; Metazoa; Chordata; Mammalia; Primates; Hominidae.